GACAAUAUGGCGGUAAUGCACGCAGUGAAUAAUCAGUCGGCGGCGUCAAAACCGGUGGUCCGGUUGCUGCGGCACUUCGUCCUAAUGUGCAUGUCCCGCAAUGUUGUCUUUCGCGCGCGCCAUGUGCCUGGGUACUUGAACGAAGUGGCUGACGCUCUCUCUCGUUUUCAGUGGUCCCGAUUCUGGACGGUGGCAUCGGAGGCGCAGGAAGCGGGCCAGGCGUGCCCGGACGAAAUUUGGCGGCCGGGAGCGUCCUGCUUGGGGGACUUGUGAAGG
Non-coding RNA from Pelobates cultripes (western spadefoot toad), 276 nucleotides. The record is from the annotation of a GenBank genome assembly. Lineage: Eukaryota; Metazoa; Chordata; Amphibia; Anura; Pelobatidae.